AGCAUCCCCCUCUCCCCUCCCCCCCCAUUUGUGUGUGAGCAUGCGGGCAGGCGAUACUCUUUUGUUUCAACCUGACCUCUACCUCAUGGUGACCCUCUCUGGGUGGGGGGGGAGGACGGGGUAGGGGGGAGAAGGAGGAGAGGGUGAGGGGAGACUUCUGCAGGCACAGCCCUUAUACAUCAAGAGGUUGCCUAUAGGAGGAAGCCGAUGGCUGCAGCAUCCAACGCGUUAUUACCUUGCGAUGCCAUGACCCUCCUCCAUGCAUCCCUAACUCUUUAAAGCUGAUUCAGCUAGCGCUCUGGAGGCUCCCCUGCUGCAACAGAAUCUCCUCACUGCUCACAUAUCCAGGUUUCCAGUUGUCCCUAUGAACCUUCGAUUUGACAAUGUGUCAGGUAAACCACAACCUCAGCUGCUACAGAGUUCGUUCAACUGGAUGGCUUUUUCCUAACACUGAAAGAAAGAAAGUCAAGACAUUCUCUUUCUGGGGCUCUUCUCUUUGGGAGGCAGAGGAAAUCCUGGACU
This is a long non-coding RNA of Trichosurus vulpecula (common brushtail), 522 nucleotides long. RefSeq lists it as uncharacterized. Lineage: Eukaryota; Metazoa; Chordata; Mammalia; Diprotodontia; Phalangeridae. The record is from RefSeq and is a predicted model, not a curated record. The transcript has 3 exons.